RNAcentral lists this ribosomal RNA (1554 nucleotides) under Staphylococcus pseudintermedius. RNAcentral's name for it is "bacterial SSU rRNA". It matches the Rfam family "Bacterial small subunit ribosomal RNA". The record is from RNAcentral. Lineage: Bacteria; Bacillati; Bacillota; Bacilli; Caryophanales; Staphylococcaceae.
UUUAUGGAGAGUUUGAUCCUGGCUCAGGAUGAACGCUGGCGGCGUGCCUAAUACAUGCAAGUCGAGCGAACAGAUAAGGAGCUUGCUCCUUUGACGUUAGCGGCGGACGGGUGAGUAACACGUGGGUAACCUACCUAUAAGACUGGAAUAACUCCGGGAAACCGGGGCUAAUGCCGGAUAACAUGUUGAACCGCAUGGUUCUACAGUGAAAGACGGUCUUGCUGUCACUUAUAGAUGGACCCGCGCCGUAUUAGCUAGUUGGUGGGGUAACGGCCUACCAAGGCGACGAUACGUAGCCGACCUGAGAGGGUGAUCGGCCACACUGGAACUGAGACACGGUCCAGACUCCUACGGGAGGCAGCAGUAGGGAAUCUUCCGCAAUGGGCGAAAGCCUGACGGAGCAACGCCGCGUGAGUGAUGAAGGUCUUCGGAUCGUAAAGCUCUGUUGUUAGGGAAGAACAAAUGUGUAAGUAACUGUGCACAUCUUGACGGUACCUAACCAGAAAGCCACGGCUAACUACGUGCCAGCAGCCGCGGUAAUACGUAGGUGGCAAGCGUUAUCCGGAAUUAUUGGGCGUAAAGCGCGCGUAGGCGGUUUUUUUUUUAAGUCUGAUGUGAAAGCCCACGGCUCAACCGUGGAGGGUCAUUGGAAACUGGAAAACUUGAGUGCAGAAGAGGAAAGUGGAAUUCCAUGUGUAGCGGUGAAAUGCGCAGAGAUAUGGAGGAACACCAGUGGCGAAGGCGGCUUUCUGGUCUGCAACUGACGCUGAUGUGCGAAAGCGUGGGGAUCAAACAGGAUUAGAUACCCUGGUAGUCCACGCCGUAAACGAUGAGUGCUAAGUGUUAGGGGGUUUCCGCCCCUUAGUGCUGCAGCUAACGCAUUAAGCACUCCGCCUGGGGAGUACGGUCGCAAGACUGAAACUCAAAGGAAUUGACGGGGACCCGCACAAGCGGUGGAGCAUGUGGUUUAAUUCGAAGCAACGCGAAGAACCUUACCAAAUCUUGACAUCCUUUGACCGCUCUAGAGAUAGAGUUUUCCUCUUCGGAGGACAAAGUGACAGGUGGUGCAUGGUUGUCGUCAGCUCGUGUCGUGAGAUGUUGGGUUAAGUCCCGCAACGAGCGCAACCCUUGAACUUAGUUGCCAUCAUUCAGUUGGGCACUCUAAGUUGACUGCCGGUGACAAACCGGAGGAAGGUGGGGAUGACGUCAAAUCAUCAUGCCCCUUAUGAUUUGGGCUACACACGUGCUACAAUGGACAAUACAAAGGGCAGCGAAACCGCGAGGUCAAGCAAAUCCCAUAAAGUUGUUCUCAGUUCGGAUUGUAGUCUGCAACUCGACUACAUGAAGCUGGAAUCGCUAGUAAUCGUAGAUCAGCAUGCUACGGUGAAUACGUUCCCGGGUCUUGUACACACCGCCCGUCACACCACGAGAGUUUGUAACACCCGAAGCCGGUGGAGUAACCAUUUUGGAGCUAGCCGUCGAAGGUGGGACAAAUGAUUGGGGUGAAGUCGUAACAAGGUAGCCGUAUCGGAAGGUGCGGCUGGAUCACUCUUU